Non-coding RNA from Podarcis lilfordi (Lilford's wall lizard), 71 nucleotides. Lineage: Eukaryota; Metazoa; Chordata; Lepidosauria; Squamata; Lacertidae. The record is from the annotation of a GenBank genome assembly.
GAAAAUAGUUCAGUUGGUAGAACAUGAGACUCUUAAUCUCAGUCUUAUGGGUUCAAGGCCCACAUUGGACA